GAUGAAGAACGCAGCGAAAUGCGAUAUGUAAUGUGAAUUGCAGAAUUCAGUGAAUCAUCGAAUCUUUGAACGCACAUUGCGCCCGCCAGUAUUCUGGCGGGCAUGCCUGUUCGAGCGUCAUUUCAACCCUCAAGCCCCCGGGCUUGGUGUUGGGGAUCGGCGUGCCCUCGCGGCGCGCCGUCCCCUAAAUCUAGUGGCGGUCUCGCUGUAGCUUCCUCUGCGUAGUAGCAACACUCGCACUGGAUCGCAGCGCGGCCACGCCGUUAAACCCCCCACUUCUGAAAGUUUGACCUCGGAUCAGGUAGGAAUACCCGCUGAACUUAAGCAUAUCAAUAAGCGGAGGA
This 344-nucleotide unclassified non-coding RNA is filed under the name soil metagenome. RNAcentral's name for it is "partial contains 5.8S ribosomal RNA, internal transcribed spacer 2, and large subunit ribosomal RNA". The stretch from base 1 to 120 matches the Rfam family "5.8S ribosomal RNA", at positions 35 to 154 of the family's 154-position model. The record is from RNAcentral.